Molecule: long non-coding RNA, 176 nt
Organism: Sphaerodactylus townsendi
Lineage: Eukaryota; Metazoa; Chordata; Lepidosauria; Squamata; Sphaerodactylidae
Exons: 3
Source: RefSeq, a predicted model, not a curated record
AUUACAGAGAAGGCAACUGCUGAGAACAAAUGGGCCUUCAUUUCAGAAAGUGAAACAUAAUAUCGCUCCUCCUCAAAACAGAGCAUAUAAAAUUAUUUUUAUUAUUUUCUGCCAUUAAGUCAGAUGGCACUGAACUAAACUGGUAAAAAAAAUGAAUAAGAUGAUAUUACAUUUUA